Molecule: ribosomal RNA, 441 nt
Filed under: Aphanius dispar
Lineage: Eukaryota; Metazoa; Chordata; Actinopteri; Cyprinodontiformes; Aphaniidae
Description: Aphaniops dispar partial 12 ribosomal RNA
Source: RNAcentral
CCCAUGAUGCUCGUAUUCGAAUUUUGGGUUUCCUGAACCGCCACGAAAUCUAGGUGGAUCUCCUCGGACAAGAUCUUGGCUAUUGGGGGCAAUUUGGAGUGGAAGGGAACGGGGAGGGCGGAUAUAUGGCGGCAGCAGUCGUAUGGGACACUUCCUUGUUGUCAUUCGUUUUAACCAUGUCGGAUUUUGCGGUCCAGCUCCACAUCGUGUACUCUUCCUUUCUUUACCCGAUGUAAAGGAAAAAUUCCUUUGUGCUUAACACAAAACUUUUUUGGUGUACUUCCUCCUAAAUCGUCAUUCAUUCUUUUUCUCUCAGAACGACUUGGGCCGGGACUUCGCGCGUGUGUGGCGGGCAGUGAGAGGGGUUCGGUGAUUUGUUGGUAGAAAUUAUUUGUUCUAUCCGUUUCCCCUCCGUUCAGCAUUGUACCAUUCACAUGGCCU